GAUGAACGCUAGCUACAGGCUUAACACAUGCAAGUCGAGGGACCGGCGCACGGGUGAGUAACACGUAUCCAACCUGCCCUUUCCCCGGGGAUAGCCUUUCGACAGAAAGAUUAAUACCCGCACUAAAGGAUGGGGAUGCGUUCCAUUAGGUUGUUGGUGAUGUAACGGCUCACCAAGCCUUCGAUGGAUAGGGGUUCUGAGAGGAAGGUCCCCCACAUUGGAACUGAGACACGGUCCAAACUCCGACGGGAGGCAGCAGUGAGGAAUAUUGGUGAAGGGGCUGUAGCCUGAACCAGCCAAGUAGCGGGAAGGAUGAAUGCUUAUUGGUCGUAAAUUGCUUUUAGAGAAGAAUAGGUAUUAUAUGAAUAAGGAUCGGCUAACUCCGUGCCAGCAGCCGCGGUAAUUC
This 406-nucleotide ribosomal RNA is filed under the name uncultured bacterium. RNAcentral's name for it is "partial 16S ribosomal RNA". It matches the Rfam family "Bacterial small subunit ribosomal RNA", at positions 28 to 526 of the family's 1533-position model. The record is from RNAcentral.